AUUGAACGCUGGCGGCAGGCUUAACACAUGCAAGUCGAACGGUAACAGGAAGAAAGCUUGCUUUCUUUGCUGACGAGUGGCGGACGGGUGAGUAAUGCUUGGGAAUCUGUUUCAUGGAGGGGGAUAACUACGGGAAACUGUAGCUAAUACCGCGUAAUAUCGAGAGAUUAAAUGUGUGGGACCGUAAGGCCACAUGCCAUGAAGUGAGCCCAAGUGGGAUUAGAUAGUUGGUGAGGUAAUGGCUCACCAAGUCGGCGAUCUCUAGCUGGUCUGAGAGGAUGACCAGCCACACUGGGACUGAGACACGGCCCAGACUCCUACGGGAGGCAGCAGUGGGGAAUAUUGCACAAUGGGCGCAAGCCUGAUGCAGCCAUGCCGCGUGAAUGAAGAAGGCCUUCGGGUUGUAAAGUUCUUUCGGUGGUGAGGAAGGUUGACGUGUUAAUAGCACGUUGAUUUGACGUUAGCCACAGAAGAAGCACCGGCUAACUCCGUGCCAGCAGCCGCGGUAAUACGGAGGGUGCGAGCGUUAAUCGGAAUAACUGGGCGUAAAGGGCACGCAGGCGGUGACUUAAGUGAGGUGUGAAAGCCCUGGGCUUAACCUAGGAAUUGCAUUUCAUACUGGGUCGCUAGAGUAUUUUAGGGAGGGGUAGAAUUCCACGUGUAGCGGUGAAAUGCGUAGAGAUGUGGAGGAAUACCGAAGGCGAAGGCAGCCCCUUGGGAAUAUACUGACGCUCAUGUGCGAAAGCGUGGGGAGCAAACAGG
RNAcentral lists this ribosomal RNA (762 nucleotides) under uncultured bacterium. Its description in RNAcentral is "bacterial SSU rRNA". It matches the Rfam family "Bacterial small subunit ribosomal RNA", at positions 28 to 776 of the family's 1533-position model. The record is from RNAcentral.